RNAcentral lists this ribosomal RNA (497 nucleotides) under uncultured bacterium. RNAcentral describes it as "partial 16S ribosomal RNA". It matches the Rfam family "Bacterial small subunit ribosomal RNA", at positions 28 to 507 of the family's 1533-position model. The record is from RNAcentral.
GACGAACGCUGGCGGCGUGCCUAAUACAUGCAAGUUGGGCGCUGAAGGUUGGUACUUGUACCAACUGGAUGAGCAGCGAACGGGCGAGUAACGCGUGGGGAAUCUGCCUUUGAGCGGGGGACAACAUUUGGAAACGAAUGCUAAUACCGCAUAAAAACUUUAAACACAAGUUUUAAGUUUGAAAGAUGCAAUUGCAUCACUCAAAGAUGAUCCCGCGUUGUAUUAGCUAGUUGGUGAGGUAAAGGCUCACCAAGGCGAUGAUACAUAGCCGACCUGAGAGGGUGAUCGGCCACAUUGGGACUGAGACACGGCCCAAACUCCUACGGGAGGCAGCAGUAGGGAAUCUUCGGCAAUGGACGAAAGUCUGACCGAGCAACGCCGCGUGAGUGAAGAAGGUUUUCGGAUCGUAAAACUCUGUUGGUAGAGAAGAACGUUGGUGAGAGUGGAAAGCUCAUCAAGUGACGGUAACUACCCAGAAAGGGACGGCUAACUACGUG